This is a non-coding RNA of Oryza sativa Japonica Group (Japanese rice), 328 nucleotides long. NCBI's taxonomy places the organism in Eukaryota, Viridiplantae, Streptophyta, Magnoliopsida, Poales, Poaceae. The record is from RefSeq and is a predicted model, not a curated record.
UAAUGGUGUUGUCAGGACAGCAAAGUUCCAUGGAUGGUAUGGAUGAACAGAUGAGAAAACAUACCAUAGAGGAGCCCCUGACGAUGAAAGGUCAAGAAAUGGGUAUGGCCACCUGAAGAAUAUGGAAACAUGAUUACAACGUUUAGAGUGUAUACUUAAUAAAAUGGCACAAUGAAGGGGACCAAGACAUUCCAUUACAUUGCUUUAGUGUAAACGGCAGGGGAGAACCUACCAGGAUAUAGCUCCACAAGCAUGAAGGACCCAUUGGAAGGUUACAUAGGAGCAGCUCCAAAAUACAAAGAAAGCCAGGCGGUACCAGGGGAAGGGC